CAGCCGCCACGGUAACACGGAGGGUGCAAGCGUUAAUCGGAAUUACUGGGCGUAAAGCGCACGCAGGCGGUUUGUUAAGUCAGAUGUGAAAUCCCCGAGCUUAACUUGGGAACUGCAUUUGAAACUGGCAAGCCAGAGUCUUGUAGAGGGGGGUAGAAUUCCAGGUGUAGCGGUGAAAUGCGUAGAGAUCUGGAGGAAUACCGGUGGCGAAGGCGGCCCCCUGGACAAAGACUGACGCUCAGGUGCGAAAGCGUGGGGAGCAAACAGGAUUAGAGACCCGGGUAGUCCCUGUCUCUUAUAC
Molecule: ribosomal RNA, 301 nt
Filed under: uncultured bacterium
Lineage: Bacteria
Description: partial 16S ribosomal RNA
Rfam family: Bacterial small subunit ribosomal RNA
Source: RNAcentral